AUGGCGUUUCUAGCUGAAACUCCCGCCAGCCCUCCCGAGCACGCCGCGCGCCGCGUCUUCCUCCAGCUCGUCUCCGCGAUCAUCUACCGCCACGUGCGGGGUGUCACCCACCGCGACGUCAAGCAGCGGAAUGUCCCACCGCGACGAGCAUACGGCAACCUCAAGGUUUGCACACCACCUGAGUCCCACCGCGACGACGGCCGCCUGCACACCACCUGUGGGACGCCCGCCUUCGCCGCCCCCGAGGUGCUCCGCCGCAAGGGCCACGAUGGCGUCAAGCCCGACGCCUGCUCCUGCGGCGUCAUCCUCUACGUCCUACUCGCCGGCCGCCUGCCGUUCGACGACUCCAACAUCCAGAUGUGCAGGAAGGCGCACCGCCGCGAGUACACGCUCCCCCAGUGGUGUCCCCGCCGACGCGCCGCCUCAUGA
Molecule: ribosomal RNA, 429 nt
Filed under: Triticum aestivum (bread wheat)
Lineage: Eukaryota; Viridiplantae; Streptophyta; Magnoliopsida; Poales; Poaceae
Description: partial small subunit ribosomal RNA
Source: RNAcentral